RNAcentral lists this ribosomal RNA (371 nucleotides) under uncultured bacterium. RNAcentral describes it as "partial 16S ribosomal RNA". It matches the Rfam family "Bacterial small subunit ribosomal RNA", at positions 355 to 719 of the family's 1533-position model. The record is from RNAcentral.
UGGGGAAUUUUGGACAAUGGGCGCAAGCCUGAUCCAGCCAUGCCGCGUGCGGGAAGAAGGCCUCGGGUUGUAAACCGCUUUGUCAGGAAGAAAUCUUCUGAGUUAAUACCUCGGGAGGAUGACGGUACCUGAAGAAUAAGCACCAGCUAACUACGUGCCAGCAGCCGCGGUAAUACGUAGGGUGCAAGCGUUAAUCGGAAUUACUGGGCGUAAAGCGUGCGCAGGCGGUUUUGUAAGACAGAGGUGAAAUCCCCGGGCUCAACCUGGGAACUGCCUUUGUGACUGCAAGGCUUGAGUGCGGCAGAGGGGGGAAUGGAAUUCCGCGUNUAGCAGUGAAAUGCGUAGAUAUGCGGAGGAACACCGAUGGCGAA